Molecule: ribosomal RNA, 407 nt
Filed under: uncultured bacterium
Lineage: Bacteria
Description: partial 16S ribosomal RNA
Rfam family: Bacterial small subunit ribosomal RNA
Source: RNAcentral
GACGAACGCUGGCGGCGUGCCUAAUACAUGCAAGUCGAACGCAGUUGCGAACGGGUGAGUAACGCGUAGGUAACUGCCUGGUAGCGGGGGAUAACUAUUGGAAACGAUAGCUAAUACCGCAUACUACCAGAUGGACCUGCGUUGUAUUAGCUAGUUGGUGAGGUAACGGCUCACCAAGGCAACGAUACAUAGCCGACCUGGGAGGGGGAGUGGCCAAACUGGGACUGGGACACGGCCCCGGCUCCUACGGGAAGGAACAGUAGGGAAUCUUCGGAAAUGGGGGGAACCCUGACCGAGCAACGGCGCGGGAGUGAAAAAGGUUUUCGGAUCGUAAAGCUCUGUUGUUAAGGAAGCGGUACUUAACCAGAAAGGAACGGCUAACUACGUGCCAGCAGCCGCGGUAAUAC